RNAcentral lists this ribosomal RNA (510 nucleotides) under uncultured bacterium. RNAcentral describes it as "partial 16S ribosomal RNA". It matches the Rfam family "Bacterial small subunit ribosomal RNA", at positions 28 to 507 of the family's 1533-position model. The record is from RNAcentral.
GACGAACGCUGGCGGCGUGCUUAACACAUGCAAGUCGAACGAAGAGCGACGGAAGCUUGCUUCUAUCAAUCUUAGUGGCGAACGGGUGAGUAACGCGUAAUCAACCUGCCCUUCAGAGGGGGACAACAGUUGGAAACGACUGCUAAUACCGCAUACGAUCUAACCUCGGCAUCGAGGAUAGAUGAAAGGUGGCCUCUACAUGUAAGCUCUCACUGAAGGAGGGGAUUGCGUCUGAUUAGCUAGUUGGAGGGGUAACGGCCCACCAAGGCGAUGAUCAGUAGCCGGUCUGAGAGGAUGAACGGCCACAUUGGGACUGAGACACGGCCCAGACUCCUACGGGAGGCAGCAGUGGGGAAUCUUCCGCAAUGGACGAAAGUCUGACGGAGCAACGCCGCGUGAGUGAUGACGGCCUUCGGGUUGGAAAGCUCUGUUAAUCGGGACGAAAGGCCUUCUUGCGAAUAGUGAGAAGGAUUGACGGUACCGGAAGAGAAAGCCACGGCUAACUACGUG